UUGAUCCUUCGGGUGAUACAUUAGUGAAUGAGUGGCGGACGGGUGAGUAACGCGUGGGUAACUUGCCCUGUACAGGGGGAUAACAGUCAGAAAUGACUGCUAAUACCGCAUAAGCGCACGAAAGGACAUCCUUUAGUGUGAAAAACUCCGGUGGUACAGGAUGGGCCCGCGUCUGAUUAGCUAGUUGGCGGGGUAAUGGCCCACCAAGGCGACGAUCAGUAGCCGGUCUGAGAGGAUGAACGGCCACAUUGGAACUGAGACACGGUCCAAACUCCUACGGGAGGCAGCAGUGGGGAAUAUUGCACAAUGGGGGGAACCCUGAUGCAGCAACGCCGCGUGAGUGAAGAAGUAUUUCGGUAUGUAAAGCUCUAUCAGCAGGGAAGAUAAUGACGGUACCUGACUAAGAAGCUCCGGCUAAAUACGUGCCAGCAGCCGCGGUAAUACGUAUGGAGCAAGCGUUAUCCGGAUUUACUGGGUGUAAAGGGUGCGUAGGUGGCGAGGCAAGUCAGAUGUGAAAUACCGGGGCUCAACCCCGGGGCUGCAUUUGAAACUGUCUUGCUGGAGUACAGGAGAGGCAGGCGGAAUUCCUAGUGUAGCGGUGAAAUGGGUAGAUAUUAGGAGGAACACCAGUGGCGAAGGC
This 640-nucleotide ribosomal RNA is filed under the name Lachnospiraceae bacterium RM51. Its description in RNAcentral is "bacterial SSU rRNA". It matches the Rfam family "Bacterial small subunit ribosomal RNA", at positions 70 to 722 of the family's 1533-position model. Lineage: Bacteria; Bacillati; Bacillota; Clostridia; Lachnospirales; Lachnospiraceae. The record is from RNAcentral.